CACGUAGGCGGAUAUUUAAGUCAGGGGUGAAAUCCCAGAGCUCAACUCUGGAACUGCCUUUGAUACUGGGUAUCUUGAGUAUGGAAGAGGUAAGUGGAGUUCCGAGUGUAGAGGUGAAAUUCGUAGAUAUUCGGAGGAACACCAGUGGCGAAGGCGGCUUACUGGUCCAUUACUGACGCUGAGGUGCGAAAGCGUGGGGAGCAGACA
RNAcentral lists this ribosomal RNA (207 nucleotides) under uncultured bacterium. RNAcentral's name for it is "partial 16S ribosomal RNA". It matches the Rfam family "Bacterial small subunit ribosomal RNA", at positions 568 to 774 of the family's 1533-position model. The record is from RNAcentral.